This 72-nucleotide transfer RNA is filed under the name Ictidomys tridecemlineatus (thirteen-lined ground squirrel). RNAcentral's name for it is "Spermophilus tridecemlineatus (thirteen-lined ground squirrel) tRNA". It matches the Rfam family "tRNA". Rfam says of the family: Transfer RNA (tRNA) molecules are approximately 80 nucleotides in length. Lineage: Eukaryota; Metazoa; Chordata; Mammalia; Rodentia; Sciuridae. The record is from Rfam by way of RNAcentral.
GAAGGUGUAGCUCAGUGGUGGAGCGCUGGCCUAGCACGUGCAAGAUCCUGGGUUCGAUCCUCAGCACCCACA